UACGGGGGGGGCAAGCGUUGUUCGGAAUUACUGGGCGUAAAGGGCUCGUAGGUGGCCAACUAAGUCAGACGUGAAAUCCCUCGGCUUAACCGGGGAACUGCGUCUGAUACUGGAUGGCUUGAGUUUGGGAGAGGGAUGCGGAAUUCCAGGUGGAGCGGUGAAAUGCGUAGAGAUCUGGAAGAACACCAAUGGCGAAGGCAGCAUCCUGGGAAGACCCUGACGCUAAUGUGCGAAAGCUAGGGGAGCGAACGGG
Molecule: ribosomal RNA, 253 nt
Filed under: uncultured bacterium
Lineage: Bacteria
Description: partial 16S ribosomal RNA
Rfam family: Bacterial small subunit ribosomal RNA
Source: RNAcentral